This 775-nucleotide non-coding RNA is filed under the name Macromia daimoji. Lineage: Eukaryota; Metazoa; Arthropoda; Insecta; Odonata; Macromiidae. The record is from RNAcentral.
AAAAAGUUUUAUUCUUGCUAAAAUAAUUAUUUUAUGAUUAAUCUAUAUACAUAUUUUUGUAAUUAAAAUUAAAUUUUAAUAAUUAUUUUCAUUUUAGUAGUAGAAAGUAUUAUUAUUCAAUGUAAUUUGGAUAUAGUAAUUCAUAUUAACUCCGGUUAAAGUCGUGCCAGCCGCCGCGGUUAUACGUAGGGAGUAUAUAAUUAUUUUUGAUUUAUAGUUAAAUUUUAUUUUUCUUUUAUAUCUAUUGUUUUUAGGUGAAAUUUUAAUUUUAGGUGUUUUUGUAUAAAUUUGAUUCUAUGAAACUUAUUUUAUAAACAAGGAUUAGAUACCCUUUUAUUUUAAGUGUAAAUAAUUUCAAUCAGGGUAUUAGUAGUUAUGUUCUUGAAACUCAAAGAAUUUGGCGGUAUUUUAUUCUUUUUAGAGGAACCUGUCCUGUGAUCGACAUUCCACGAUGAUGAUUUACUUUCCCUUGUUUUCAGUUUGUAUACCUCCGUCAUAAGAAUAUCUUUUUAGAGUAAAUAUUCUUAAUAUAUAAAAUAUAUAAUGUCAGGUCAAGGUGCAAUUUAUGGGAAAGAAGAGAUGGGUUACAAUAAAUUUAUUUAUAUGGAUUAAAUUAGUUGAAUUAAUUUAUGAAGGUGGAUUUAAAAGUAAAAUUAUUUUUCUUGAUGAUUUGAUUUUAGCUCUAUAAUAUGCACACAUCGCCCGUCGCUCUUAUUAUAAAAUAAGAUAAGUCGUAACAUAGUAGAUGUAUUGGAAAAUGUAUCUAGAUAGUAAA